This 29-nucleotide non-coding RNA is filed under the name Rattus norvegicus (Norway rat). Lineage: Eukaryota; Metazoa; Chordata; Mammalia; Rodentia; Muridae. The record is from RNAcentral.
UACAAAUACUAAAAGUCCCACAGGCGUGC